This 443-nucleotide ribosomal RNA is filed under the name uncultured Christensenellaceae bacterium. RNAcentral's name for it is "bacterial SSU rRNA". It matches the Rfam family "Bacterial small subunit ribosomal RNA", at positions 337 to 796 of the family's 1533-position model. The record is from RNAcentral. Lineage: Bacteria; Bacillati; Bacillota; Clostridia; Christensenellales; Christensenellaceae.
GCCUACGGGAGGCAGCAGUGGGGAAUAUUGGGCAAUGGGCGAAAGCCUGACCCAGCAACGCCGCGUGAAGGAAGAAGGUCUUCGGAUUGUAAACUUUUGUUGUCAGGGAAGAAAACGGACAGUACCUGACGAGGAAGCCCCGGCUAACUACGUGCCAGCAGCCGCGGUAAUACGUAGGGGGCGAGCGUUGUCCGGAAUUACUGGGCGUAAAGGGCGCGUAGGCGGCACGCUAAGUUAGAUGUGAAAUCCCCGGGCUUAACCUGGGUGUUGCAUUUAAAACUGGCGAGCUUGAGUGCAGGAGAGGUAAGCGGAAUUCCUAGUGUAGCGGUGAAAUGCGUAGAUAUUAGGAGGAACAUCGGUGGCGAAGGCGGCUUUCUGGACUGUAACUGACGCUGAGGCGCGAAAGCGUGGGGAGCAAACAGGAUUAGAUACCCCGGUAGUCA